RNAcentral lists this ribosomal RNA (350 nucleotides) under Craterostigmus tasmanianus. RNAcentral describes it as "eukaryotic LSU rRNA". It matches the Rfam family "Eukaryotic large subunit ribosomal RNA", at positions 664 to 959 of the family's 3401-position model. The record is from RNAcentral. Lineage: Eukaryota; Metazoa; Arthropoda; Chilopoda; Craterostigmomorpha; Craterostigmidae.
GACCAAGGAGUCUAACAUGUGCGCGAGUCGUAGGGUUACGCUCAAAGCCCGAAGGCGCAAUGAAAGUGAAGGUCGGCCUCGAUUGCCGUUACCUAGGCGGGAUCCGUUCGGGCUUACCGGUCGUUCGCGGCUGAGCCCGGCGGCGCACCGCCGGCCCGUCUCGACCGCAUCGCCGGUGAGGCGGAGCGAGAGCGUACACGUUGGGACCCGAAAGAUGGUGAACUAUGCCCGGGCAGGACGAAGCCAGAGGAAACUCUGGUGGAGGUCCGUAGCGAUUCUGACGUGCAAAUCGAUCGUCGGACCUGGGUAUAGGGGCGAAAGAUUAUCGAACCAUCUAGUAGCUGGUUCCU